UACGUAGGGUGCAAGCGUUGUCCGGAAUUAUUGGGCGUAAAGAGCUUGUAGGCGGUUUGUCGCGUCUGCUGUGAAAUUUCGGGGCUCAACCCCGAACUUGCAGUGGGUACGGGCAGACUAGAGUGCGGUAGGGGAGACUGGAAUUCCUGGUGUAGCGGUGAAAUGCGUAGAUAUCGAGAGGAACACCUGCGGCGAAGGCGGGUUGCUGGGCUGACACUGACGCUGAUGCGCGAAAGCCAGGGGAGCGAACGGG
RNAcentral lists this ribosomal RNA (253 nucleotides) under uncultured bacterium. Its description in RNAcentral is "partial 16S ribosomal RNA". It matches the Rfam family "Bacterial small subunit ribosomal RNA", at positions 524 to 776 of the family's 1533-position model. The record is from RNAcentral.